CCAUUCAAGGAAGGAGCAGGCGCGCAAUUACCCAAUCCUGACUCAGGGAGGUAGUGACAAGAAAUAACAAUAAACCGGCUUAUGCCGGUUUAAUUGGAAUGAGUACAAUUUAAACAUCUUAACGAGGAACAAUUGGAGGGCAAGUCUGGUGCCAGCAGCCGCGGUAAUUCCAGCUCCAAUAGCGUAUACUAAAGUUGUUGCAGUUAAAAAGCUCGUAGUUGGAUUUCUGUGGGGACGGAGCGGCCGGCCGCACAUCGCGGUUCGAGCUAGCGCUUUCCCUACAUCCUGCCGCGAACCGUGCUACCAUUAGUUUGGUGGCGCCGGGGAUCGGCUCGAUUACUUUGAGAAAAAUAGAGUGUUCAAAGCAGGCCACAUGCCUUGAAUAAGUUAGCAUGGAAUAAUAACUAAGGACUUCGGUUCUAUUUUGUUGGUGUUCGGGACUGAAGUAAUGAUUGAUAGGGACAGUUGGGGCGGUCUGUAUUCCAAAGCGAGAGGUGAAAUUCUUAGACCUUCGGAAGACAAACAGCUGCGAAAGCGUUCCGCAAGGAUGUUCCCUUUGAUCAAGAACGAAAGUUGGGGGAUCGAAGACGAUCAGAUACCGUCGUAGUCUCAACUAUAAACUAUACCAGCUAGGGAUCGGCCAACGUUAUUUUAUACCGACUUGGUCGGCACCUUAUGAGAAAUCAAAGCAUCUGGGUUCCGGGGGGAGUAUGGUCGCAAGGCUGAAACUUAAAGGAAUUGACGGAAGGGCACCACCAGCCGUGGAGCCUGUGGCUUAAUUUGACUCAACACGGGAAAACUUACCAGGUCCAGACAUAGUAAGGAUUGACAGAUUGAUAGCUCUUUCUUGAUUCUGUGGGUGGUGGUGCAUGGCCGUUCUUAGUUGGUGGAGUGAUUUGUCUGGUUAAUUCCGUUAACGAACGAGACCCCAGCCUGCUAAAUAGCGCGCGUGAGCUUUGCUCGCGGCGAGCUUCUUAGAGGGACUAUGAUGCGCGAUAGCACAUGGAAGUUUGGGGCAAUAACAGGUCUGUGAUGCCCUUAGAUGUUCUGGGCCGCACACGGGCUACACUGGCGCCUGCAACGAGCAUAUCAGCUGGCCCGAGAGGGUCUUGGCUAAUCUUUUGAACCGGCGCCGUGCUUGGGAUUGACCUUUGCAAUUAUUGGUCAUGCAACGAGGAAUGCCUUGUAAACGCGAGUCAUCAGCUCGCAUUGAAUACGUCCCUGCCCUUUGUACACACCGCCCGUCGCUCCUACCGAUGAAUGUUCCGAUGAAAUUUUCGGAGAGCACCUGUGAACUUGGCUCUGCCUUGCGAACGGGAGGCUCAAAGUCAC
RNAcentral lists this ribosomal RNA (1332 nucleotides) under uncultured marine eukaryote. RNAcentral describes it as "SSU rRNA". It matches the Rfam family "Eukaryotic small subunit ribosomal RNA", at positions 410 to 1758 of the family's 1831-position model. The record is from RNAcentral.